AAACUAGAUUAGUUUAACAUGUGAAAUGUCCGUAAAGUAUCAUCACAUGAUUGGCUUUAGGGCAUAUUUCCAACAAUCUCCCACUUGCACUAGAGCCAAUCAGCUUGAUCAUCAAUGAUGAUAUCUCUUCUGUAAUGUCAUUUCAUAAAUGGCUGAAUAGUAGGCCUAGACAGUGGAUAUCUAUAUGUAAUCCAUAGAAGCAACCUUGAGAAUAACGACGUCACCAUUAUACACGAUUCUCAAUCAUGUGGUUCAGUCUCUCAUUUGUGUUCGGAUCUUGAUGAGACCUUGAUUCCCAGGCUU
RNAcentral lists this long non-coding RNA (303 nucleotides) under Malus domestica (apple). RNAcentral describes it as "long non-coding RNA (MDOM_LNC013808)". Lineage: Eukaryota; Viridiplantae; Streptophyta; Magnoliopsida; Rosales; Rosaceae. The record is from RNAcentral.